UUGAAGUAAAAAAAACGUAACAAGGUCUCCGUUGGUGAACCAGCGGAGGGAUCAUUGCUGGAACGCGCCCCAGGCGCACCCCAGAAACCCUUUGUGAACUUAUACCUUACUGUUGCCUCGGCGCAUGCCGGCCCCCCCGGGGGCCCCUCGGAGACGAGGAGCAGGCACGCCGGCGGCCAAGUUAACUCUUGUUUUUACACUGAAACUCUGAGAAAAAACACAAAUGAAUCAAAACUUUCAACAACGGAUCUCUUGGUUCUGGCAUCGAUGAAGAACGCAGCGAAAUGCGAUAAGUAAUGUGAAUUGCAGAAUUCAGUGAAUCAUCGAAUCUUUGAACGCACAUUGCGCCCUCUGGUAUUCCGGAGGGCAUGCCUGUUCGAGCGUCAUUUCAACCCUCAAGCAUUGCUUGGUGUUGGGGCACUGCUUUUACCCAAAAGCAGGCCCUGAAAUCUAGUGGCGAGCUCGCCAGGACCCCGAGCGCAGUAGUUAAACCCUCGCUCUGGAAGGCCCUGGCGGUGCCCUGCCGUUAAACCCCCAACUCUUGAAAAUUUGACCUCGGAUCAGGUAGGAAUACCCGCUGAACUUAAGCAUAUCAU
Molecule: ribosomal RNA, 596 nt
Filed under: Phomopsis asparagi
Lineage: Eukaryota; Fungi; Ascomycota; Sordariomycetes; Diaporthales; Diaporthaceae
Description: eukaryotic LSU rRNA
Rfam family: 5.8S ribosomal RNA (bases 233-386)
Source: RNAcentral